GGCCGGAUAAGGCAUUCACGCCGCAUCCGGCAAUCAACGCCUGAUGCGACGCUGUCGCGUCUUAUCAGGCC
This 71-nucleotide non-coding RNA is filed under the name Escherichia coli. RNAcentral's name for it is "Nucleoid-associated noncoding RNA 4 (CssrE)". It matches the Rfam family "Nucleoid-associated noncoding RNA 4 (CssrE)". Rfam says of the family: In E. coli small RNA transcribed from repeated extragenic palindromic element (REP325) called nucleoid-associated ncRNA 4 (nRNA4) collaborates HU protein in condensing the DNA. The record is from RNAcentral. Lineage: Bacteria; Pseudomonadati; Pseudomonadota; Gammaproteobacteria; Enterobacterales; Enterobacteriaceae. RNAcentral also lists the same sequence under 1 other name.